RNAcentral lists this ribosomal RNA (443 nucleotides) under uncultured bacterium. Its description in RNAcentral is "partial 16S ribosomal RNA". It matches the Rfam family "Bacterial small subunit ribosomal RNA", at positions 338 to 795 of the family's 1533-position model. The record is from RNAcentral.
CCUACGGGAGGCAGCAGUGGGGAAUUUUGGGCAAUGGGCGCAAGCCUGACCCAGCAACGCCGCGUGAAGGAAGACGGCUUUCGGGUUGUAAACUUCUUUUCUCAGGGACGAAGCAAGUGUCGGUACCUAAGGAAUAAGCCACGGCUAACUACGUGCCAGCAGCCGCGGGAAUACGUGGGUGGCAAGCGUUAUCUGGAUUUACUGGGGGUGAAGGUCGUGUAGGCGGGGAAGGAAGUCAGAUGUGAAAACCACGGGCUCAAACUGGGGACUGCAUUGGAUACUGGUUUUCUUGAGUACUGUAGAGGCAGGCGGAAUGCCUAGUGUAGCAGUGAAAUGCGUAGAUAUUAGGAAGAACACCAGUGGCGAAGGCGGUCUGCUGGAAAGCAACUGACGCUGAGGCGCGAAAGCGUGGGGAGCAAACAGGAUUAGAUACCCGGGUAGUC